GUCCCCUGGACACAAGUGAGAGCGCACAUGUCUCUUCACCCGUAUUGUUCGUCAGUCUGUAUUUCUGUAUAUGUACAAAGCAUCUACUAUUCAAAGAUACGAUCCAAUUGUUACUGUGCACUUAAAAUCCCGCUACAGUGAACAGUGCAGAGUUCCAGAUGUUACUGUGCACUUAAAAUCCCGCUACAGUGAAUAGUUUAAAGAUUUUUGUAUAUAAACCGAGAGGAAGACUCAGACUCCUCAGGUUUUUCAUUUCUCAUUUUUCAGAGCUUCUCUCUCUACUUCUCCUCCUUCUCUCUAAAAAUCUCUCUCCGAAGGGUUCCAAAGAAAUUUUCUGUUUACACAAUAGUUCUAUCUCAGAGCUUUGAGUGAUCAAACUAGUUCUUUACCUUCAAUCUUCCCGUCUUUCAAUCUUCCCUUCUGGAAAGAUUUGAAAAUUUGUAAAAGCCAGAAAGCAAAAAUGUAUGCUUAAAUUCAGUUCUUUAAAUUUCAAUGUAAUUUAAAUUUUUGCAAUUUAUUUUAAAGCAUUUACUUUUCUGCAAUUUAAUUUUAUGCACAUUUAAAUUCCAGCAAUUUAUUUUAAAGCAUUUUUCUUUUCAAAGCAUGUUUGCAGACUGAUCUGUAUCAGAUCUGCCAUAUAAAUUCUACAUUCCUCUGAGGCAAAGAGACCGGAUCUCGAUCCUCAGUUGUAAAUCUUCUCUUCUUCCUCCAUUCCUUCAGAGCACCAUUUCCGGGAUCCGGAUCUGGUACUGUGUAUGUACCCAAACCUUUAAAAGAACCUAAUUUAAAUCUGAUAAUAGCCCAAUAAAAAGAAUCAACCACGUUUAAAGUAACUUAACUUUAUUUGGUAAAAUAAAACUAAGUUGGUAUAUCGGCUGGAAACCCGAACGUGCGGACUAUUGAUCUGUUCUAAGUCAGAUCUGGGUCCAAAGGCUUCACUUUGUGUAGCAUCGAUCUGGUUUAACAACGCCACGUACCAAUUAGUUAUUAAAAAUUUGACUAACCGCGUUCAAAUUUGUUUGAUCACUGUAUGACCCAAAGAACUCCAUAAUCAAAGCUGGUAAUUUAUUAUUUUAAAAUUUGGAAAAGCCGAUCCAUUAAUUGUUUAAUUAGAGUUUUUAAUAUUGAAAUCCUACGAAAGCACAUCCAUCCUUCGAUCCUAUUUCCUUCUGGUA
Molecule: long non-coding RNA, 1175 nt
Filed under: Citrus x clementina
Lineage: Eukaryota; Viridiplantae; Streptophyta; Magnoliopsida; Sapindales; Rutaceae
Description: Citrus clementina (C. clementina) long non-coding RNA (CCLE_LNC001768)
Source: RNAcentral